GGCGGCGUAGCUCAGCUGGCUAGAGCAUUCGGUUCAUACCCGGGGGGUCGGGGGUUCAAAUCCCUCCGCCGCUACCA
This 77-nucleotide transfer RNA is filed under the name Tumebacillus algifaecis. Its description in RNAcentral is "tRNA-Met". It matches the Rfam family "tRNA". Rfam says of the family: Transfer RNA (tRNA) molecules are approximately 80 nucleotides in length. Their secondary structure includes four short double-helical elements and three loops (D, anti-codon, and T loops). Further hydrogen bonds mediate the characteristic L-shaped molecular structure. tRNAs have two regions of fundamental functional importance: the anti-codon, which is responsible for specific mRNA codon recognition, and the 3' end, to which the tRNAs corresponding amino acid is attached (by aminoacyl-tRNA synthetases). tRNAs cope with the degeneracy of the genetic code in two manners: having more than one tRNA (with a specific anti-codon) for a particular amino acid; and 'wobble' base-pairing, i.e. permitting non-standard base-pairing at the 3rd anti-codon position. Lineage: Bacteria; Bacillati; Bacillota; Bacilli; Caryophanales; Alicyclobacillaceae. The record is from RNAcentral.